GUUGUCUCCAGUUGCUGUGAACGGGAUAUUUUAGGAGUCUGGAGAGCAGCGAGCGUCUCACCCCGACAGGAGCUCGAGCUCUGCGCACGUCCGCCCGUCUGUGUUUCUGUUUGAACCCACACAGGCUGCGACUGCAGGCGAGCUGGAGAAGCUCUAGAUCGCUGUGAGUACGGUGGAUGAGGCACCCAGGAAAGGAUAUCACGGUGGGCAGAGGAAAGGAGGCUUUAAAAACUGCUGCUCGACAAAAAAUUUUGAAAGCAGGAGUCUGAGGGCGAUGUGGAGGAUCAGAUCAGCUCUGAUUUAAACUCCGGUCUGAGAGCUGAAUCGGCCGUGGCCCAAUCGGCAGCAGCUCCUUCCCCGUGAGAGAGACCAAACCAUUCAACAACGUCGAAAGUUGCUUACUUCAAGAGGAAAUAUGCGGAGGAGGAGGAUUUACACCGAGGCCUACGUGGAUAUUUUCAAAAAGUGCGUGUUCUUUUCUUCUUCUUUUGUUGUUUUCAUGCCAGCGUGACUUGAUUUUCUGUGCCUGAAAGACCUUAAUACAACAGCUGAAACGUUUGGUGACUUCAUAGCUGAACAGGCUCGCCAAAUGUUUCUGGCUUAUUACUUCUUUUCUACUGCCUCUUCCUUCUUUUGUCUUCUUUCUUUGCUUCUGUGCAUUCUCGACAUUCACAAUUCUCUCCAUCACUUUAACGGUUUCACUCUUUAUUAGCUGGCCUUCAUCACAUCACAUCCUUCAACUUUAUUCUGGCAUCCUAUACAGUCUCCACUGUUUCUCUGCUUUGAAUACCUAAAGUGUUCACUGUACCUUUAAAGGUUUAUGCAUUUCAGGCAUGAAUGCAGUUCUACAAAAA
Long non-coding RNA from Astatotilapia calliptera (eastern happy), 854 nucleotides. Lineage: Eukaryota; Metazoa; Chordata; Actinopteri; Cichliformes; Cichlidae. The record is from Ensembl.